GACGAACGCUGGCGGCGUGCUUAACACAUGCCAGUCGAACGGAAAGGCCCUGCUUUUGUGGGGUGCUCGAGUGGCGAACGGGUGAGUAACACGUGAGUAACCUGCCCUUGACUUUGGGAUAACUUCAGGAAACUGGGGCUAAUACCGGAUAGGAGCUCCUGCUGCAUGGUGGGGGUUGGAAAGUUUCGGCGGUUGGGGAUGGUCUCGCGGCUUAUCAGCUUGUUGGUGGGGUAGUGGCUUACCAAGGCUUUGACGGGUAGCCGGCCUGAGAGGGUGACCGGCCACAUUGGGACUGAGAUAGGGCCCAGACUCCUACGGGAGGCAGCAGUGGGGAAUAUUGCACAAUGGGCGGAAGCCUGAUGCAGCAACGCCGCGUGCGGGAUGACGGCCUUCGGGUUGUAAACCGCUUUCGCCUGUGACGAAGCGUGAGUGACGGUAAUGGGUAAAGAAGCACCGGCUAACUACGUG
Molecule: ribosomal RNA, 468 nt
Filed under: uncultured bacterium
Lineage: Bacteria
Description: partial 16S ribosomal RNA
Rfam family: Bacterial small subunit ribosomal RNA
Source: RNAcentral